This is a long non-coding RNA of Equus asinus (donkey), 3772 nucleotides long. NCBI's taxonomy places the organism in Eukaryota, Metazoa, Chordata, Mammalia, Perissodactyla, Equidae. The record is from Ensembl.
UUUGGAGAUAAAGUAACCCAAGUGUCUCAGCAGACUUUUCCAAAAUGAAGACACGCCAUCUACUCCAGCGCAUACCGCACACACGGAGGAAUUUUGCGAGGUCAGAGAUCUUCGUGGAGCCUGGGACACCGGGGGUUAACGCCUGUCCCUGGCAGCUGAGCAGCCCCACAGCUGCCAGCAAUUAGGCCGGCUGGCAGGCCCCUUAGGAAACUCCUGCCGCCUGAUGAGGACUAAUUGCUAGCCAGCAUGUAAGUCCCGAUCGAUAGAAAUGGAAAUCCAUUAGGGAAAGGCUGGGCAGGGACACCCUGCCUUCUGGCGAGCGUGCACGUCCGUGGAGACGCCCCGUAUUGACUGCGUGCUCCGAACGCGCUCCCCGUGCCCGCGUUACUGGACAGUUACGCUGAGAAGGACUCUCGUGGUUUCCCUUUGACCCCAAAAGAGAGUCUUCUUUACCCCCUGUUUUGGUCUAUAACUGAAAGAAGCCUGUUUCUACCAAGAAUGGCAUGACGACAACCGUUCCUUGGGGAUCCAAGCAAUGUGUCGGGGGAGUGUGCAGAGGGCACAUGCCUGGGCGCCUCGGACGCUUGGUCCAGGUGUGGGCUGUGGCUGGGCCUUCGAGUGCGGGCGGUUCUUCUGUAUUAGGGAGACUCGUUCACAGACUCAUUGGCAGCUGCUGAAAAAACUUACUUCAGACCCUUGCCAGUUUGAAAUUUGUGACCGGGUGCCAGAGAAGAUGGCAGUGUUCAUGGGAACUAUUUCAACCAACUGUAUGCUGGUUCUGAGAAUACAAAGAGGUGUAAGAUCUGGGACUUGCCGUCAAGGGAUCCUACGGUCUAUGCAAGUUCAAAAAAAGGAGAUGACAGAAGGACUAUAUAAACUGCUUCUGAGAACAAGAUAGGAUUUUUAACACCACCACGACCACCAAAUUUUAAUUGAUUUUUUUUGUCAAAAAUGAACCACACGCUCACAUACACACGGAGUUUUGAGUUUUAACCUAUUUUGAAAUUCAAACAUAUUGUAACGAAAUGUGGAUUGUAUUAUUUGAGAAAAUACAUUUGUGAGCUCACUUUAGGAUAAGUGCAGCAGAAGGCGAACAGAAAAGACUGCAGCUGGAAUGACCUGGAUUACGCUGUGCGGUUACAUCUCUAAGGAGACAAAUUAGGAGAGACAGCGGACAUCAUACUCAGAGCUGGACUUUGGGGAGCUCUGCUCUCCAACAGACGUCGCUUUAUGGAGCCCUUCGAAACCCUCGAGGUAAACGGAAUUUGCGUCCCCCUCACUCGAGGAACAGGUGCGAGGUGAGGCUGAGAGGGGCCAUGGGAACAGAAUCCGCUUGCCCUGAAGCCUUGCGCUGACACCAGCAGGAAUAUGAACGUGACGUCUUUGAGUGUGUGCUUCUGGAAAGCGUCUCAGUGACAGGACUCAGAACAGCAUCUUGGCGAGGGCCAACACAGGCACCGUGUCGGGAAAAAAUGUUUCUAUCUAGCCCAGGGGUUUGUAUCCUGUCAGAAGUGGACGGCCACAUUCUUCUGGUAGGGCUCACACUUAAACAGAUCUAUGUUUGAUUUAACUCAACUUAUUAGUUAUUGUUCUUGGGUAAAUUACUUAAUCUCUGGAUGUCAGAUUGUCACUAUUAAAAGAGGAUACUGUUGGCAGAAGGUUGCUGGGCGGGUUGGGAGGGACUAUAAAAAAUGCGUCUAAAGUAUCUCCUACACCUUUAUGUCAUACCUCUUCCUUCACCAUGCUUAGUGGUAACUCGAGGGAAAGUGGUAACCAGGAGAAGCUUUAGCUUGGACAAUGAAUGUUUGAAAGGGAGAAACGGAUGUGAGUGGUUGCGGUUGUAAGAGGCAGGUGAGAUGAAGGGGGCACGGAAUUUGCCGCGCCCAUAGGCACAACCAUGCUCACUCCCAGCCUUGUUAAGACCUAGAAGUAAAGACAUUGCCGUUGUGUGACGUGUCUGCCACCUGUGGCAAGUCCGCAUCAAGCCUACUUUAGUCCAAGUCCAAGUUCUCUUUCCUAGACUGCCACUGUGUUCUGAAGUGGUAACGUAGAAGGCUUUCAUUCUGCCUACUCAUAUUCUCUGGGUACUCAUUCAGUAUGGCAGUAUCACCUGAGGCUGUUCCUCAGGACUUGUGGAAAGCAAAGAAGUAUGAGGCCAGCUGAGGAGAAUUUUCUCGGGGAGAUUCCCAGUUCUUAUUCAGAUGCGUUGUUCCUUAUGUCAGUGCAGGAGUGCUCUUAGCUUUUUAUUUUUUUCCUUAAUAAAGACAAAAUAAAGAUCACAGUGCAAACUCCUCACAAAGCUUUCUCAGUCUUAGGUAACCAGGGGCGCUCAUCAGAGGCCUAAAAUUAACCCAGGAUCUGUGCUAGAAAGUACUUACUUAGCGGAAGACUAUUUAGUGUUGUUCUUUCAUUCUUUUUGUUUUUCUUCAUUAUCUCACAUUAAAACAUAUUUGAAAUUUAUAUUUGGAGCCAGAAUUUUAAAAAGCAUGAAGGAGUUUCUCCAUUUGUAUGUUUUGUAGUGUGGUUGGGAGUUCUUUUCCAAGUGAAAAUCAGCAUACAAACAGUCCUCUGGUUGCCAUCCUCUGAGAAUUCCAACCUUCCAAAUGGACGCAGCCACCCUGUGGGACGCAGCUUCAGCUCGGUCUUCCAGCCCGACGGCUGCAGUCAGACUCCGCCAUGGGUUUAGGUAAAGCCUUGACUGUGAUGGGAAAGAUCCAGCAUUGUUUCAUGUGCAUGAUCUCAAAUGCAAUGAGUUCCUGUCUGGGGAGCAUCGGAUACUUCACUUCCUAGUCUUGCCCCAUUUUUCCAUCACACGUGUCUUACUAUUGGAGAGGAAGGGGGCUGAGUCCUAUUUUGCGUGGGUGACAUAACAGGGACACCUGGUAGGGAGAAGGCACAAUGGCCCUAUGGGCUAGAACGCAAAGAAGAGAAAGAGAAAAAGAGUUCCAGGAAGAGGGGAGAUCGUAGGGCAGCUCCGGGACGUCUGAAAGUCCCAGAUGCUCUGAGGCAGUGACGAUUCGACUGCAAACCCAGACCAGCACCAGCGGCACCACCUGGGAGCUCGUCAGACACAGAACUGCAGGCCGCCCCCAGACACGGAAGCAAAACCCGCAUUUUGACAAAAUGCCCUGGGAAUUUGUAUAUGCAUUAAAGUUUGAGAAGCACUGGUGAAAACAUCAAGAGUUUUAUCCUUUUAUGCCAUAAUGAUCUUGCCUUAUUCAGGACUUUUACAACAGAGUCACCCUAAAGUGUUCCUGGACUGAGGAAGCACUUGGGAGAGGGUUCAUGAUCACAUGGGGUAACGUGGUCCCAGAUGCUGUCCCUGUGUCAGUACUCAGCUUACCUAACGGCUCAGUCAAGGAAUAUUUCAUAAACUCCUGUGAGCAAGGUCCCAAGACAUGUGUUAUGGAGGAUAUAUAGCCCUUAUACAAAACCUUAAUUUUUGUGACGGGGAGACAGGCUGUCUUUACAAUAGGAACUAAUUCUGAUAUCAUCCUGGUAGACUCUAGCCCAAUACUCUGAUGUGGGAGACCUUUUCAGGCUCCAGCAAGCUGCCAUGAGAAAUAGGCAUGUUGCCUCAAUAAACGUUUCACUCAACCAAAUGUAAAAUGCAUGUAAUUAUACGGAAUUCGAUUCGUUCUUUCCCUGUGCUCAUAUUGCUCUUCAUUAGAUGAAUCAAAUUUAGAUACUAUAUUGAAAAUUCAAGAGUAGUUUCAGAAGCUCUCUGCUAAAGAAAUACAACUAGAACUUUACGCAUAGUGCUAUCCAAAGG